GUUGACCUCGGAUCAGGUAGGGAUACCCGCUGU
RNAcentral lists this ribosomal RNA (33 nucleotides) under fungal sp. 2.34.4F. RNAcentral's name for it is "partial 28S ribosomal RNA". Lineage: Eukaryota; Fungi. The record is from RNAcentral.